UACAGAGGGGGCAAGCGUUGUUCGGAAUUACUGGGCGUAAAGGGCGCGUAGGUGGCCUUCUAAGUUGAACGUGAAAUCCCUGGGCUCAACCCAGGAACUGCGUCCAAGACUGGGAGGCUUGAAUCCGGAGAGGGAUGCGGAAUUCCAGGUGUAGCGGUGAAAUGCGUAGAUAUCUGGAGGAACACCGGUGGCGAAGGCGGCAUCCUGGACCGGGAUUGACACUGAGGCGCGAAAGCCAGGGGAGCAAACGGG
This 252-nucleotide ribosomal RNA is filed under the name uncultured bacterium. RNAcentral describes it as "partial 16S ribosomal RNA". It matches the Rfam family "Bacterial small subunit ribosomal RNA", at positions 524 to 776 of the family's 1533-position model. The record is from RNAcentral.